RNAcentral lists this long non-coding RNA (1407 nucleotides) under Equus caballus (horse). RNAcentral describes it as "lncRNA (ENSECAG00000054724.1)". Lineage: Eukaryota; Metazoa; Chordata; Mammalia; Perissodactyla; Equidae. The record is from RNAcentral.
GCCAUGUUGGUAAUUGGAUAGUUGUCCCCUGAAAUUCCUCUCUGGUGGAGAAAGACUUGAGAGUACCUCUUUGCAGACAUCCGCUGCCCCAUGCCAAGGGCGUGGGACGCUGACCUCUGAUGCCAGAGUCUUGACAGGGCCAGGGUGUGCCUGGGGGGGCCUCUCAGAGCCCCAGUUGCUCUUCAGUCCCUUCUCUUGGAGUCCUCUUCCCAGUGUAAUGCCGCACACCCUCUCAGGACUCUGCCAGCAACAGCCCAUCACCCUGCCGUGGCUGCUGCUUGCUGAGGACUGGUCAUGGACCAGGCAUUGGGAGGGACCCAUUAUGUACGUAGCUGAAUCCUCUCAACAGUCCUGAAAGGAAGGGAGUUAGAACUCCAUUCUAUAAAGGAGGAAACUAAGGUUUCCAAAGAUCCACAGCCAGUGGUGAGGAGGGGAUCCUUGCCCAGGAAGGCAAAUGGACCAUCUCCAUGCUGCUCUUUCACUGCCCAUGGAAGCCUAUGAACUAAGGCCUUGAGGCAGGAAGAGGAAGAAAUACCAAGGGGAAGAGUGCAGAAAAGGAAGGUCAUGUGAAGACACAGGAGGAAGACGGCCAUAUACGAGCCAGGGAGAGUGGCCUCAGAAGACAACAACCCUGCUGACACCUUACUCUUGGACUUCCGCCUUCCAGAACUGUGAGACAACAAAUUCUGUUAAGACGCCCACUCUGUGGUACUUCGUUAUGGCAUCCUGAGCAGACCAGUACAGUGAUCUACCGCUAGUUACUUCCGGUCGUUGGUGGCAGAGCUGAGACUGGAUCCCAGGAGUUCCGGCUCCUGGCUCACUUCCUGCUGCUUCAGGCCACUUUCCCUCCUGCUUGACUGUGGUGCAGUGGUUAUGGAUUCCCUGGAUUCUAAUCUCAGGCUCCAUCAAUCUCUAGCUAUGCAAUCUUGGCAAGUUACUUGUAUUUACACAGGAUGCUUGUAAUUAUAGUAUCUUCCCAUGCUGCAGUGCGGAUCAAAUGAGUUACCACGCAGGAGGUGCUCGGAGUGGAGUAAUUGGUCAGUGAAUCUCAGGUAUUGCUUCCCAACUCUGUAGCCCAGACUGAGAGAGAACAAAGGGAGUUUUCUAGCGAAACCCCUGAGAGCCUUCUCCUGAAUGUCGACAGCUUAAAAAAUAAAUAAAGGGAAGGGGAAAAUGAGGUACAAGAUCACCAAUGCAAAAACUGCACACAAAGGAGAGAGUCUCUUUCCUCGUGGAAAGUGUUAAAUGUUGCAGCAAAAUCUCUCUGCUACAUCAGCUAUAGAAUCUGUAAUCAUUUGCAAAGCAGAAACUAUUAUUCAUCAAUGUCGCUGUCAUCAAAUAAAAUGUAAGUGCCUACAGAGACACAGUGUGGUCUAAGGAGGCUUGCAAACAACCUGUAAUUGGUAC